Molecule: ribosomal RNA, 333 nt
Filed under: uncultured eukaryote
Lineage: Eukaryota
Description: SSU rRNA
Rfam family: Eukaryotic small subunit ribosomal RNA
Source: RNAcentral
CCUUAGAUGUUCUGGGCCGCACGCGCGCUACACUGAUAAAGUCAACGAGUUUAGUUCCUUGGCCGGAAGGUCUGGGUAAUCUUUUGAAACUUUAUCGUGCUGGGGAUAGUCCAUUGCAAUUAUUGGACUUCAACGAGGAAUUCCUAGUAAGCGCAAGUCACCAGCUUGCGUUGAUUACGUCCCUGCCCUUUGUACACACCGCCCGUCGCUACUACCGAUUGAAUGGCUUAGUGAGAUCCUCGGACUGGCGAUGGGCAGCCGGCAACGGCCGCUCUCUGCUGGGAAGUUUAUCAAACUUGGUCAUUUAGAGGAAGUAAAAGUCGUAACAAGGUU